Helianthus annuus (common sunflower) is the source of this 980-nucleotide long non-coding RNA. RefSeq lists it as uncharacterized. The transcript has 4 exons. NCBI's taxonomy places the organism in Eukaryota, Viridiplantae, Streptophyta, Magnoliopsida, Asterales, Asteraceae. The record is from RefSeq and is a predicted model, not a curated record.
CACAAGAAAUAUUAAAAUUAGCAAGUAGCAUAAGUGUUUCUUUAAUCAUUAGGCUGGACGGUAUGAGGACCGUCCAGCAACGUCGACCUUGAGACGCCGCCCCCCUCUCCAUUUCGCCCCUUCCGUCGCCGUUCCUCCAUCGUCGCCAUCGUCGGGUUCUCGACGCCAAGGACGGUCCUCCCCACACCAAUAAACCCCCAAAUCCAAAAUCAAACCAUUCUCCCAAAUCCAAAAUCAAACCCUUUGAAGAUGGCGGCGGCGUUGUCUCAGUGGCACCGAUUGACUGAGUUGAUAAUGGUGAUGGAGAAGGGUGGUAGUGGUUGAGAAGAUGGUGGUGGAGCCGACGGCAAACAUUUAGAGAAAUAAGUAUGUUCCUCAUCAAUUUUCCCCAAUUUUUCUUCAAUUUUUGUUGGUCAUUUAGUUUAUAAUAAGCUGAAGGAGAGGUCAGGGGGUAUAUUGCACGAGGUUUCGCUAGAAGUGAGGAGAGUAAGCAGAAAAUUGGCGGAGCCGAAGACGUUUUGAUCGGCGAUAUAACGAACGCCGCAACUCUGGAACCGGCUAUUCAAUGCACGGAUGCUAUUGUCAUUCUUACCAGUGCUGUUCCUAAAAUGAAACCUGGUUUUGAUCCAACUAAAGGAGGAAGACCUGAAUUCCAUUUUGAAGAGGGAGCAUACCGUGAGCAAGUAACUGUUUAUCGCUGCUCAAGAAACUUCGUUUCCUAUAGCCGGCUAGGUAACAACUCUUUGGCGGGAACUAUAUCAUAUUCCUUAACUACCAUAGGUGCGCUACAAGUUCUUGAUCUUUCAAACAACCUGUUGACAGGAGUUGUUCCUAUCAAUGGCCCCUUUUCGCUGUUCGAAGACAUAAGGUUUGCUGUAGCUGAUAAUAAGAAUAAUUUGGAUCAUUAUGUAAUUUGCCUUCAUCUUUUUUUAAGUUUAUGUAAUGUGUUUUUAAUAUUAAUGAAAAUAUUUAGUUAAUUU